RNAcentral lists this ribosomal RNA (430 nucleotides) under uncultured bacterium. RNAcentral describes it as "bacterial SSU rRNA". It matches the Rfam family "Bacterial small subunit ribosomal RNA", at positions 356 to 776 of the family's 1533-position model. The record is from RNAcentral.
AAGGAAUUUUGCACAAUGGGCGAAAGCCUGAUGCAGCAACGCCGCGUGAUUGAUGAAGUUUUUAGGAAUGUAAAAAUCUGUCGUAAGGGAAGAAAUGUUUCAGAUGUUAAUACCAUCUGUUAUUGACGGUACCUUACAAGAAAGCACCGGCUAACUUCGUGCCAGCAGCCGCGGUAAUACGAGGGGUGCUAGCGUUGUCCGGAUUUACUGGGCGUAAAGGGUACGUAGGCGUUUUAACAAGUUAUGUGUUAAAUACUUUAGCUUAACUAAAGAACUGCACAUAAAACUGUUAGAAUAGAGUUUGAGAGAGGAACGCAGAAUUCAUGGUGGAGCGGUGACAUGCGUAGAUAUCAUGAGGAAAGUCAAAUGCGAAGGCAGCCUUCUGGCUCAAAACUGACGCUGAGGUACGAAAGCGUGGGGAGCGAACAGG